Molecule: ribosomal RNA, 442 nt
Filed under: uncultured soil bacterium
Lineage: Bacteria
Description: bacterial SSU rRNA
Rfam family: Bacterial small subunit ribosomal RNA
Source: RNAcentral
AGAACGAACGCUGGCGGCAUGCCUAACACAUGCAAGUCGAACGAGACCUUCGGGUCUAGUGGCGCACGGGUGCGUAACGCGUGGGAACCUGCCCUUAGGUUCGGAAUAACUCAGAGAAAUUUGAGCUAAUACCGGAUAAUGUCUUCGGACCAAAGAUUUAUCGCCUUUGGAUGGGCCCGCGUAGGAUUAGCUUGUUGGUGGGGUAAUGGCCUACCAAGGCGACGAUCCUUAGCUGGUCUGAGAGGAUGAUCAGCCACACUGGGACUGAGACACGGCCCAGACUCCUACGGGAGGCAGCAGUGGGGAAUAUUGGACAAUGGGCGAAAGCCUGAUCCAGCAAUGCCGCGUGAGUGAUGAAGGCCGUUAGGUUGUAAAGCUCUUUACCCGGGAUGAUAUGACAGUACCGGAGAAUAAGCUCCGGCUAACUCCGUGCCAGCAGCCG